UGUCCGCCGACGUGGGGGCGCGCGCCCGGCGCCGGGAGGCGCGCGACACCCGAGGCCCCGGGCUCCAGGCGGCGCGCGUGCGGUCCUAUGUUGGCCAGUGCGCCAGAUACAGAGACAUUUUCUACAAACUGGAUGGGUUAGGAGGUGACCGGGGCCACUCUGGGAAUCGUUAGCGUGGGCAGCAGUGGCUGUAAGAUGACUCAGAGAGCCAGAGCGUUCGACACGAGGAUUCUCUACCACAACAGGAGAUGCAGGUAAACAUUCAGAAAGUGGACCUGAAACUAACAUACCAUCCCUGCCUUCCGUAUGGCUUGGAUAUAGGAUCCCCCCAUAAGUCACAAGACUCCCCUGCUCUUUCUCUCCAAAAAAUAAGAAUGAUGGUCAAGAAAGCGGCUGUGCUUACCUGGGAAUGUGGCUGAGACCUUUUUUUUUUAAUUGAAAACAUUCAUCAGAAAAGAGGCUUUAAUUUCUGAAGUGAAAGGGAGAAGCUGUCCAUAGCACUGGGCAACUUGCCUGAUCCCUUUAAUACGGAAGGUCGUGUUGGCCCUCCGUGACGUGCGCGGGCUCCUUUCUCGGUCGAUGCCCGGGCUUACGAUCGCCUCCACACAGCGGCAGACCUGCUUGUUCUCUCUCUCUUCUUCAAUGCCGCUGGCUCCGGCCCUGUCCUUUGUCCUUUCUCACCUGAAAUACAUAUUCUAUGGGGCUUCUCAUUGCUGCUCUUUAACCUCCGGCCCCCCUUGCAAACCAGCCAGAUGAUGGACGUUGUUUACAACCUUUCAGUGGCCUCCCACUGCCUGUGGACCACAUUCCCAGCUGGUGAGAAAGUCGUGGAGGCCUGGUGAGCUGGGAGAUGGUGUGUCCAGCCAGCGUUUGCACCACAGACAGCGAAGAGACUUCGGGGCGAUGAACACAGGCACAGAGAGAGACGCCAGGGAUCUUAUGUGAUGGAGUGUGUGAUGUGGGCACGGUAUCCAUCCUUCCUCGGGGCUGUCCCUUGACCCAAACACAUUAGGGGAGAAUUUGGGUAAUUUGGAAUUCUGUGUUUGUAGCGCCGUGGCAGCUGCCUGGGAACCUAUAACCUCUGGGCCUUGGAAUCCCUCUGAACAGCCAGCUGUUUGGGGACCAGAGCAGGGUUAGGACUGAACCAAAGCAAAACACAAAGGUUCCCUCUAUCAAACCCUGGGGGCCUUGCUCCCUGUGUGAGAAGCAGCAUUCUCAGGCACCCUCCGGUUCUGUUGGUAUGUUUUCUGGGAAACCCAGAUGCGUUUGCCCACAUGGGGGUGCUCUGUGGUCCCAGAAGCAGGUGCUUGUGCUAUAACUUGGACUGGGAACUACUUCCCUUCAUUGAUGUCCUGUCGUCACCGAGCGUAUGUCUGAUGGACCAUCGGACUUGUACCAGGCUCUGGGGGUUCAAGGGACAAGCAGCUCCUGGCUUCAGGGAGCCCCAGUGUGGAAAUUAGAGGAGGAGGGAGCUGUUGGUGUCACUUAUCGAGAGUCUGGAUGACCUGCUUCGGUGAUUGGACUCCGUGCUGUUGGCUAUGAGCCUGACGUCCCAGACCCAGAGGCUGGCUGGGAAGAGGGAGCUGAGUCUGAUGGAGCCCACGGCCAUGGUCAUCAGCGUGGGCAAAGCAGGUCACCGUGAGCCCUUCCUGCGUUCUGUGAGCCGCUGCAGCAGAUUCAGGAGGAGGUCACUGGAAUAGCCAGUCUGCAGCUGGUCGGUCAGAAGCCCGAGUCCCAGCCGGGGACUUCCGAAGAGUGUCUGAAUUCGGGGGCAGGAGGGCGUCUUACAGGACUGAGUCCUUAACCUGUGGGAUCGGAUGCUGUGUCCAAGGUAGACAGUGUCAAAACUGAGUUGAAUUCUCCGACACCCUGCUGGUAUCCCAAAGACUGCUUAGCCUUGAACAUGUGGGAAUCUCUCUCUCUCUACCCCAUGCAGGAACUGGGUCCAGGAACCCUAAAAGAGCUGGUGCCGGAAGAUGAGAAGACCGCACGGGGCUGAGCUAAUAUGCUUGAGGGUUCAAUGAAAAUUCAGACCCUCUAGGUGAACAGGAAGGACCAGCUUCCGCAACGUCAGAGGCUGGGAGAGAGAGGGAGCCUCACGUACACACAGGGCCCACCGACGGAGCCACGCAGGCGCUCAUGUUUCUGUGUGUGACCGGGGACUGGGGUCUUCGUCAUGUCGUUUACCUUGAAUCUUGGUGUCGUUCGUUAAGGUGACGGUUCCCAGGUUUGAUUCCCCCAGCUUUGUGUCUAGUAAGCAAAUUACUGUCCAUUGGAAGUCUGACGUUACAACCAAAUUUAAUACCUAACUUUACCAAGACUGACCACAGAACUUACAUUUCUGAAAAAAAAGCUUAUUUAGCAUGCUUUCUCAGAAUGUGGUCUGGAGACCCUCUGAGGGGUCUGUACAGUCGCCGUUAUCUUCACUGAAUGUAUGUGCUACCUCCUCAUGGAUGGUUCAGUGCACCUGCGGGCAGCGUCGCCGACAACUAAUGCAAUGCGUGUUGCUCUACUAAUAUUUCUUUAAUCUCCAAUACAAUAAAUGUUGACAGAUAAAACCCAUAAAAACAAUGUUUUUUGUGGUUCUCAGUUUUAAGAGUGUAAAGAAGGGUGCCUGGGUGGCUCAGUCAGUUGAGCAUCUGCCUCCUGGGAUCGGGCCCCAGUGGGGCUCCCUGCUCAGUGGGGAGUCUCCUUCUCCCUCUUCCCCUUACUUGUUCCCUCCCAAAUAAAUAAAUAAAAUCUUAAAAAACUUAAAGAAGUGUAUAAAGAAGUCCUGGGGUACAUGGCUGGCUCAGUUGGUAGUAUGUGCAAUUCCUGACCUCAGGGUUUUGAGUUCAGGCCCCACACUGGGCAUGCAGACUACUUAAAAAAAAAAAAAA
Molecule: long non-coding RNA, 2879 nt
Organism: Lutra lutra (Eurasian river otter)
Lineage: Eukaryota; Metazoa; Chordata; Mammalia; Carnivora; Mustelidae
Exons: 5
Source: RefSeq, a predicted model, not a curated record